GAUGAACGCUAGCGGCAGGCCUAACACAUGCAAGUCGAGGGGCAGCACAGAAACAGCAAUGUUUUGGUGGCGACCGGCGGACGGGUGCGUAACGCGUAUGCAACCUACCUUUAACAGGGGGAUAACGGAGAGAAAUUUCCACUAAUACCCCAUAACAUCGAUCAAGGCAUCUUGAUUGGUUGAAAACUCCGGUGGUUAAAGAUGGGCAUGCGUUGUAUUAGGUAGUUGGUGAGGUAAUGGCUCACCAAGCCUACGAUACAUAGGGGGACUGAGAGGUUAGCCCCCCACACUGGUACUGAGACACAAACCAGACUCCUACGGGAGGCAGCAGUGAGGAAUAUUGGUCAAUGGGGGCAACCCUGAACCAGCCAUGCCGCGUGCAGGAAGACGGCUCUAUGAGUUGUAAACUGCUUUUAAACAGGGAUAAAGCACAGUAUGUAUACUGUGAUGAAGGUACUGUAAGAAUAAGGAUCGGCUAACUCCGUGCCAGCCGCCGCCGUAA
This 502-nucleotide ribosomal RNA is filed under the name uncultured bacterium. RNAcentral's name for it is "partial 16S ribosomal RNA". It matches the Rfam family "Bacterial small subunit ribosomal RNA", at positions 28 to 523 of the family's 1533-position model. The record is from RNAcentral.